Non-coding RNA from Gorilla gorilla gorilla (western lowland gorilla), 333 nucleotides. It matches the Rfam family "7SK RNA". From Rfam's summary of the family: 7SK was discovered as an abundant small nuclear RNA in the mid-70s but a possible function has only recently been suggested. Lineage: Eukaryota; Metazoa; Chordata; Mammalia; Primates; Hominidae. The record is from Rfam.
GGAUGUGAGGGCGAUCUGACUGUGACAUCUGUCACCCCGUUGUUCACCAGGGUUGAUUUGGCUGAUCUGACUGGCUAGGCGGGUAUCCCCUUCCUCCCUCACCACUCCAUGUGUGUCUGUCGCAAACCUGUGUGCUCAGUCAAAGAGGAUGACCAUCCCCAAUAGAGGAGGACUGGUCUUCAGUCAAGGGUAUACGAGUAGCUGCACUCCCCUGCUAGAAACUCUAAAGAAGCUCUCAAAAAAAAAAAAAAAAAAAAAAAAGGGAUGACAUAGUAUCACUGUUUGCUCAUGUGCUCUUCCAGUUUAGGCUGAAUCUCAUCAUGAGGAAAUAGC